GGUUAAGUUAGAAAGGGCGCACGGUGGAUGCCUUGGCACUAGGAGCCUAAGAAGGACGCGACGAACGGCGAAACGCCUCGGGGAGCUGUAAGUGAGCUUUGAUCCGAGGAUCUCCGAAUGGGGGAACCCACCAUCCGUAAUGGGAUGGUACCCGUAUCUGAAUACAUAGGAUACGAGGAGGCAGACCUGGGGAACUGAAACAUCUAAGUACCCAGAGGAAGAGAAAGCAAAUGCGAUUUCCCAAGUAGCGGCGAGCGAAACGGAAACAGCCCAAACCAAGAGGCUUGCCUCUUGGGGUUGUAGGACACUCUAUACGGAGUAAGAAAGAAACGAAGUAGGUGAAACGGUCUGGAAAGGCCUGUCGUAGAGGGUAACAACCCCGUAACCGAAACUUUGUUUCCUCCAGAGUGU
RNAcentral lists this non-coding RNA (411 nucleotides) under Halalkalibacter okhensis. Its description in RNAcentral is "Bacillus okhensis Bacterial large subunit ribosomal RNA". It matches the Rfam family "Bacterial large subunit ribosomal RNA", at positions 1 to 404 of the family's 2925-position model. The record is from Rfam by way of RNAcentral. Lineage: Bacteria; Bacillati; Bacillota; Bacilli; Caryophanales; Bacillaceae.